UACGUAGGGUGCGAGCGUUGUCCGGAAUUAUUGGGCGUAAAGGGCUCGUAGGCGGUCUGUCGCGUCGGGAGUGAAAACUCAGGGCUUAACCCUGAGCCUGCUUCCGAUACGGGCAGACUAGAGGUAUGCAGGGGAGAACGGAAUUCCUGGUGUAGCGGUGGAAUGCGCAGAUAUCAGGAGGAACACCGGUGGCGAAGGCGGUUCUCUGGGCCUGUACUGACGCUGAGGAGCGAAAGCGUGGGGAGCGAACAGG
Molecule: ribosomal RNA, 253 nt
Filed under: uncultured bacterium
Lineage: Bacteria
Description: partial 16S ribosomal RNA
Rfam family: Bacterial small subunit ribosomal RNA
Source: RNAcentral